This 619-nucleotide ribosomal RNA is filed under the name uncultured bacterium. Its description in RNAcentral is "bacterial SSU rRNA". It matches the Rfam family "Bacterial small subunit ribosomal RNA", at positions 338 to 950 of the family's 1533-position model. The record is from RNAcentral.
CCUACGGGAGGCAGCAGUGGGGAAUUUUGGACAAUGGGCGAAAGCCUGAUCCAGCAAUGCCGCGUGAGUGAAGAAGGCCUUCGGGUUGUAAAGCUCUUUUGUCAGGGAAGAAACGGUGUGGGCUAAUAUCCUGCACUAAUGACGGUACCUGAAGAAUAAGCACCGGCUAACUACGUGCCAGCAGCCGCGGUAAUACGUAGGGUGCAAGCGUUAAUCGGAAUUACUGGGCGUAAAGCGUGCGCAGGCGGUUUUGUAAGUCUGUCGUGAAAUCCCCGGGCUCAACCUGGGAAUUGCGAUGGAGACUGCAAGGCUAGAAUCUGGCAGAGGGGGGUAGAAUUCCACGUGUAGCAGUGAAAUGCGUAGAGAUGUGGAGGAACACCGAUGGCGAAGGCAGCCCCCUGGGUCAAGAUUGACGCUCAUGCACGAAAGCGUGGGGAGCAAACAGGAUUAGAUACCCUGGUAGUCCACGCCCUAAACGAUGUCUACUAGUUGUCGGGUUUUAAUUAACUUGGUAACGCAGCUAACGCGUGAAGUAGACCGCCUGGGGAGUACGGUCGCAAGNUUAAAACUUAAAGNGAAUUGGAGNGNGAGAGNGACGACGACGACGACGAGGAGGAGG